This 424-nucleotide ribosomal RNA is filed under the name uncultured bacterium. Its description in RNAcentral is "bacterial SSU rRNA". It matches the Rfam family "Bacterial small subunit ribosomal RNA", at positions 917 to 1344 of the family's 1533-position model. The record is from RNAcentral.
GGGCCCGCACAAGCAGCGGAGCGUGUUGCUUAAUUCGAUGAUACGCGAGGAACCUUACCAGGGCUUAAAUGUAAGUUGCAUAGAUCAGAGAUGGUCUUUUCUUCGGACUACUUACAAGGUGCUGCAUGGUUGUCGUCAGCUCGUGCCGUGAGGUGUCAGGUUAAGUCCUAUAACGAGCGCAACCCCUGUCGUUAGUUACCAGCAAGUAAUGUUGGGUACUCUAGCGAGACUGCCGGUGCAAACCGUGAGGAAGGUGGGGAUGACGUCAAAUCAUCACGGCCCUUACGUCCUGGGCUACACACGUGCUACAAUGGCCGGUACAGAGAGCAGCCACUACGCGAGUAGGAGCGAAUCUUCAAAGCCGGUCUCAGUUCGGAUCGCAGUCUGCAACUCGACUGCGUGAAGCUGGAAUCGCUAGUAAUCG